GACGAACGCUGGCGGCGUGCUUAACACAUGCAAGUCGAACGAUGACGCCCGAGCUUGCUCGGUCUGAUUAGUGGCGAACGGGUGGGUAACACGUGAGCAACCUGCCCUUCACUCUGGGAUAACCUCGGGAAAUCGGGGCUAAUACCGGAUAUGAGCUCCUGUCGCAUGGCGGGUGUUGGAAAGUUUUUCGGUGAAGGAUGGGCUCGCGGCCUAUCAGUUUGUUGGUGAGGUAGUGGCUCACCAAGGCGAUGACGGGUAGCCGGCCUGAGAGGGCGACCGGCCACACUGGGACUGAGACACGGCCCAGACUCCUACGGGAGGCAGCAGUGGGGAAUAUUGCACAAUGGGCGAAAGCCUGAUGCAGCGACGCCGCGUGAGGGAUGACGGCCUUCGGGUUGUAAACCUCUUUCAGCAGGGAAGAAGCGAAAGUGACGGUACCUGCAGAAGAAGCGCCGGCUAACUACGUG
Molecule: ribosomal RNA, 467 nt
Filed under: uncultured bacterium
Lineage: Bacteria
Description: partial 16S ribosomal RNA
Rfam family: Bacterial small subunit ribosomal RNA
Source: RNAcentral